Molecule: long non-coding RNA, 571 nt
Organism: Notolabrus celidotus (New Zealand spotty)
Lineage: Eukaryota; Metazoa; Chordata; Actinopteri; Labriformes; Labridae
Exons: 3
Source: RefSeq, a predicted model, not a curated record
GGACAGCUUUGGCGAGAUGGAGGGGCACUAUUGAGUCAGCUGUGAGCUCGGCUAGCAGGUGGUGUUAGCCAUGUACACAGGAGGUUUGUUUCUGCUAACCAUCUACAACUGUUAGCGGUUAGCCCCCGGGUCGCAGGUUAGCAUCACAACAGACAUCACUUCUCUGUAAAGGUUAUUAGAGAAGUCAACUCGGAUUGACGGAUGGAGAUGGAAGACGCUCAGAAGCCCAUCUCUCUCACACUCAUCUUCAUCUGAGCAUCGCUACUGACAGCACAGGAGCAGAGGAGGAGACGGAUGGAUGGGUCUUUUCUCCCUACUGUACUUCAUGUAGUGCCAAAUCUGUAAGAGAACACUAUUUAUAGUCCUCUUUGAGUUUUGAUGUCCUCACACCUAAAACUAUUGGCCUAAUAAAAAACAAGAAUGAUUCGGAUGUUUAUAGGGAACUUUUAAUGUAAUCUUGUCUGUAACUCUGUAUUUGUCUGUUAAUACACUGUGAGUAAGUGUGUGAGGUGCCAUGGGCUAAAAGGAACCGUUAUAAUGAGGGAUGAUACCAAUAAAUUGAUAUCUCCAA